CAGCUCAUAGUUUCGGGUAGAAGUACUCUUCGCUCAGAUUGUUUUACGAAGCCUAACUGAGGUAGAAACUUUUCGCCUAAGGGGAUCCAGCUCAUAUUUUGGGUAGAAGUACUCUUUGCCCAUGCUCGUUUUCGCAUUUUAACCCAGGUAGAACAUUUUCGCCUAGGGGGAUCCAACUCAUAGUUCAGGGUAGAAGUACCCUUCGCUCAAGUUGUUUUACGUAGCUUAACCCAUGUAGAACGUUGUCGCCUAGAGGGAUCCAGCUCAUAGUUCCGGGUAGAAGUACUCUUCACUCGAGAUGUUUUACAUAGCUUAACCCAGGUAGAACAUUUUCGCCUAGGGGGAUCCAGCUCAUAGUUCAAGGUAGAAGUACUCUUCGCUUAGGAUGUCUUACGCGCUUAACCCAUGUAGAACCUUUUCACCUAGGGGGAUCCAGCUCAUAUUUCCGGGUAGAAGUACUCUUCAGCAAAGCUUGUUUUUCGUAGCUUAACCGAGAUAGAACCUUUUCGCCUAGAGGAUCCAGCUCAUAGUUCCAGGUAAAAGUACUCUUCACUCAGGUUGUUUUAUGUAGCUUAACCCAGGUAGAACAUUUUCGCUUAGGGAGAUCCAGCUCAUAGUUUCGAGUAGAAGUACUCUUCGUUCAGAUUGUUUUACGAAGCCUAACUGUGGUAGAAACCUUUUGCCUAAGGGGAUCUAGCUCAUAUUUCGGGUAGAAGUACUCUUUGCCCAUGCUCGUUUUGGCAUUUUAACCCAGGUAGAACCUUUUCGCCUAGGGGGAUCCAACUCAUAGUUCCGGGUAGAAGUACACUUUGCUCAGGUUAUUUUACGUAGCUUAACCCAUGUAGAACGUUGUCGCCUAGAGGGAUUCAGCUCAUAGUUCCGGGUAGAAGUACUCUUGGCUCGAGAUGUUUUCCGUAGCUUAACCCAGG
RNAcentral lists this long non-coding RNA (929 nucleotides) under Nicotiana tabacum (common tobacco). RNAcentral's name for it is "long non-coding RNA (NTAB_LNC005534)". The record is from RNAcentral. Lineage: Eukaryota; Viridiplantae; Streptophyta; Magnoliopsida; Solanales; Solanaceae.